AUUGAACGCUGGCGGCAUGCUUUACACAUGCAAGUCGAACGGUAACAGGCCGCAAGGUGCUGACGAGUGGCGAACGGGUGAGUAAUGCAUCGGAACGUGCCCAGUCGUGGGGGAUAACGCAGCGAAAGCUGCGCUAAUACCGCAUACGAUCUAUGGAUGAAAGCGGGGGACCGUAAGGCCUCGCGCGAUUGGAGCGGCCGAUGUCAGAUUAGGUAGUUGGUGGGGUAAAGGCUCACCAAGCCAACGAUCUGUAGCUGGUCUGAGAGGACGACCAGCCACACUGGGACUGAGACACGGCCCAGACUCCUACGGGAGGCAGCAGUGGGGAAUUUUGGACAAUGGGCGCAAGCCUGAUCCAGCAAUGCCGCGUGCAGGAAGAAGGCCUUCGGGUUGUAAACUGCUUUUGUACGGAACGAAACGGCUCUGGUUAAUACCUGGGGCUAAUGACGGUACCGUAAGAAUAAGCACCGGCUAACUACGUGCCAGCAGCCGCCGUAA
This 498-nucleotide ribosomal RNA is filed under the name uncultured bacterium. Its description in RNAcentral is "partial 16S ribosomal RNA". It matches the Rfam family "Bacterial small subunit ribosomal RNA", at positions 30 to 523 of the family's 1533-position model. The record is from RNAcentral.